GAUGAACGCUGGCGGCGUGCUUAACACAUGCAAGUCGAACGAUGAAGCCCAGCUUGCCGGGUGGAGUAGUGGCUAACGUGUGAGUAACACGUGAGUAACCUGCCCUUAACUCUGUGAUAAGCCUGGUAAACUGGGUCUACUACCGGAUAGGAGCGUCCACCGCAUAGUGGGUGUUAGUAAGAUUUAUUGGGUUUGGAUGGACUCGCGUCCUAUCAGCUUGUUGGGCAGGUAAGGGAACACCCAGGCGACGACGGGUAGCCGGCCUGAGAGGGUGGCCGGCCCGACUGGGACUGGGAUACGGCCCAGACUCCACCGGGACGGGAGAGUGGGGAAGAGUGCACAACGGGCGGAAGGCAGAUCCAGCGAAGCCGCGUGGGGGAUGACGGCCUUCGGGUUGUAAAGCUCUUUCAGUAGGGAAGAAGCGAAAGUGACGGUACCUGAAGAAGAAGCACCGGCUAACUACGUG
RNAcentral lists this ribosomal RNA (466 nucleotides) under uncultured bacterium. RNAcentral's name for it is "partial 16S ribosomal RNA". It matches the Rfam family "Bacterial small subunit ribosomal RNA", at positions 28 to 507 of the family's 1533-position model. The record is from RNAcentral.